UAUAUAAAGCCACUGUGAUUUUUGUGGCAGUCGUCUAAACAGAUCACACAGCUCUGUUGAUCGUAAAGCAGGAAGCUGCAUGGAAUGUAUGCCUCAUCAAGUCCAACCAGUUUCUGAGUUUUUCCUCUGUGAGGACAUCACAGCUUUUUAUAGCUCGCAACAUAGUUUCUUGCUACCUGAAGUGAUUUACUGAGGUAGAAUUGGGUGAAGAUGGAUGAUUCUGGCCGAUUACCCAGACAACCCGGAAGGAAAGGAGACCAGCCACUACUGGAGAACGAUGAGAAGAUCCUGGAGAAACAGAAACCAGAACUUUUUGAGGUUAAGGACUGCUGAAACAACAAACAAUCCAUUUCUGGGAUUACGUUCCAGUUUUAGUAAACUGAC
This is a long non-coding RNA of Puntigrus tetrazona (Sumatra barb), 384 nucleotides long. RefSeq lists it as uncharacterized. The record is from RefSeq and is a predicted model, not a curated record. Lineage: Eukaryota; Metazoa; Chordata; Actinopteri; Cypriniformes; Cyprinidae. The transcript has 3 exons.